This 6582-nucleotide long non-coding RNA is filed under the name Homo sapiens (human). RNAcentral's name for it is "HSALNT0219651". The stretch from base 3770 to 3935 matches the Rfam family "U1 spliceosomal RNA". The record is from RNAcentral. Lineage: Eukaryota; Metazoa; Chordata; Mammalia; Primates; Hominidae.
CAAAAAGUUACACAAAUAAACCAGAAAAGACUCAUUCCCUAAGAAUUGAACCCAGGCUGCCAUUGUCAAAAGACAAGGCCUUAGCUACUGAGGUACAGCAUUGAGCAGUUUCUAUUGCUCUUCCUAGAAGAAGCCUAGAGCAGCCAAUUUUGAGCUUGCAAAGGCUUUUAACUGCUGAAGUUAACUUUUAGGGUUAACUAUGAUAUGCAUCCCCAAAUUCCUGUCCUCUGGAUGCCAGAGACCAAGAGAAAGUAUCUCCACAUGGUCACAAGGUUGGGCUCUUAAAGACACAAAACAAGACAGAUAAAUUUCAUCUGGUAUUGGUUUCAGGGACACACAGCAAAGUUUGUAACUGAGCAGCCUGCCAGGCUGGCUUGAAAAAUGGGCUUACAGGAGUCCUAAACCCACAUUCUAUUCUGUGAUACCCUUCUCUCCAUUACAGAACAACACAGAAAGACAAAUUCUUAGCACAAAGUACACCAUAUUUGCUACAACCUAACACUACUCUCAGAAAUCCUUUCUUCUACUAAUCAAACCCUUGCAGAGGAGACAUUGAUGUUUAUCAUUUAUACACAGAGAGAAAGAGACAGAGACCGGAAACUUGGCUGGUAAGAAAUUCCUACCCUUUUUGCUGGCAUACCAGGUUUCUGUGUCCCCUUUCUCUGAAGCUUCCAGAAAAUGGAGCAGCUUUUGAUGACCCUGCUUACUGUGCCAUAGCUGUGGGGGCCAAGCCCUGUUACAAAAGAAAAUCAUCCAUUUCUGUUUUAUGGAACCAUAGGCAAAAGCUUCUCACUUUUCCAAGAUGCUGCCUGAUGGGUUGCAUGGGGAACUGAAUUAAUAUUUUCCAUCCCAGCCGAAGCAAAAUACACAUAACGAAACAGACACUAGUCACCUCGUUCAGCACCCAAUAUUGACCUGGCAAGGCUCAAACUUUCUCAUGUUGGUUCCCAUAGUCUUUGAUCCACUCCAAGUGGAGAGGGAUGACCUCCAACCGGUAAUUGAAUAGGUGGUCUCUGGGCAAGAUGAAGAGUGGACAGUCACCCCAUGUCAGGCCUGUUGAGCUUUCUUCAGGGCUCAUCAGAUGUAACCUGACUUACGUAGAGUUCUCCGAGUUAGGCCUGCUGGACUUCCAUCAGCAAUUCCCUCAGAGAUCCCCUCAACAUAUACAAACACACACACAACAAAGACAAGACAGACAGAAGGCCUUUGAGACACAGAUUCCAGACCCAGUCACAAACCAAGAGUAUUCCUCCAAACAAGUCCCCUAUUCUCCAUCCAAUUAGACAUCUCACCAGUAGACAUCUCGUGAUGGGGCUAAAGACAGACACCCCAUGAUGGAGCUAAAGACAGACACCAAAAAAGAGACAGCAGCACCUCCAGAGAGACUGACAAAUAGGAGAAGGAAGGGGCUGUUGGCAGCACCUAGAAUACUCACCAAAUCAGACACCCCAUAAUGGGGCUACAGCUACAGACACUCCAUGACGGGGCUACAGACAGACACCCAGUGGUAGGGCUACAGUUGCAGACACCCAGUGGUGGAGCUGGAGAGAGACACCCCACCAUGGGGCUACAGACAAACAUUCCACCAUGGAGCUACAGUUAUGGGAUAUCUCCCAGGACUAUUUCUCUAUCGCAAUUAAAUUCAUGCACAAUGGAUCAGCAGCACCCCACCAGUAGAGCCAGUACUAGAGUCAACCCCCAGUCCAAGAGAACUAGGUGGCCACUUGGGUGGCCUCUGGAUCUGUUGCUGGAGGGAGUCUACCAAACCAUGGGCAGGCAGCCACAAGGGCAAUUCUGAGCAAGCCCCAAAUUUGUAACCGCCCAAUGAGUUCACCUUGCCUGCUGCCUAGACAAAGCCAAUUUAUCAAGACAGGGGAAUUGCAAUAAAGAAAGAGUAAUUCAUGCAGAGCCAACUUUGCGGGAGACUGAAGUUUUAUUAUUACUCAAAUCAGUCUCCCUAAGCAUUCAAACAUACAGAGAUCGGCAUUUUUAACGAUAAUUUGGAGAGUAGGGGAGAACCAGUGAGUCAGGAGUGCUGAUUAGUUGGGUCAGAGGUGAAAUCAUAAAGGGUCAAAGCUAUCUUCUUGGGCUGAGUCAGUUCCUGGGUAGGGGCCCCAAAAUCAGAUGAGCCAGUUUAUCAAUCUGGGUGGUGCCAGCUGAUCCAUCAAGUGCAGGGUCUGCAAAAUAUCUAAAGCACUAACAUUUCAUUUUAUAAUAAUGACAUUAUCCCCAGGAGCAAUUUGGGGAGGGUCAGAAUCCUUUAGUCUCCAGCUGUGUGACUCCUAAACCAUAAUUUCUACUUUUGUGGCUAAUUCAUUAGUCCUACAAAGGCAGUCUAGUCCCCAGGCAAGAAGGAGGUUUGUUUUGAAGAAGGGCUGUUAUCUUUGUUUUAAUCUAUAAAUUAAAAACUAAGAUCCCCCCAAAGUUGGUUCAGACCAUGCCCAGGAAUGAAGAAGGACAGCUUGGAGGUUAGAAGCAAGAUUUUAGGUCAGAUCUCUUUCACUGUCUCAGUUAUGAUUUUGCAGUGGUGGUUUCACAGACACACGGCUAAUCCUCUUACCUAAUCCAUUAGACUUUGUCCCAGCCCUUGAAGUUGUCUCCCCCUGGCCUGCCCAACACACAGGGCACAGCCUGUACUUUCACCAGUAAUCACCCCUUCCCCAAAUGCACUGGAAUCCCACUGAUGACAAGGCCUCAUUUCUUAACCAGGAUGUGGUAAAGUGCUCUCUACAGCAUAAAAGCCCCCAAAAAAUUUGAUGAUGAUGAUGGAUCAAGCUCUGGAGCCCCACUAAUGACAAAAAAGGAAGUGUGUGUGUGUGGGUGUGGGUGUGUGUGUGCACGUGGACACAUGUAGGUGAAGGGUGUGGGAGCAUUACAAGUUGUACAAGGCAGUGGAAUGGAUUUUUGCAGGGACUACUUAUAGAAUUAGUCAGGUCCUUUGCUUUUAGAUACCUCCCACAGCUCUUAGCUGUGCAUGAAUGAUUCCUUCAGUAGCUUGUGUACUUAGCAGCUAAGCAGGUCUUGCUUGGAGAGAUGAGGUACUUGCCUUCACUUACCCACUGAAUUUAAAACCCAGUUUAACCCUCCUUGCUUUAUGGGGUUUCCUCACAGUCUUCUAAGCAUGUCCUUCCAAUGGGUGAAGCUGAAGGAGAAGACCCCAGGAAUGGCUUAAGAGCUGAGGGCCACUUUAAGUAGAUACUUCUUGGACUUUAAAUUAUGAAAACAAAACACACAGAACCAAAGCAAAAGCCACUGGAAUAAUGACAUAAUGGCCACACUGGAGUUGUAUUGUUUUCUCCUGAGCAGUAACAUUUCAAAGCUGUCUCGAAGGUUGUUGCCUGGUAGCAGAGAUUUGCAGGAGGGGAAGGCAGAUUUAGAAAUAUAUUCUAUGACUAGGGCUCUUUAUAGAAAAGGUAAAAGGAUGAAUUGAUAAGGAUUCUGUUUUUUCAGAGCAGAAGAACUUGAUAAGGAGUCUUAAGAAGCUGACAUUUUAAAAACAAAAAACUCAAGUUGUUAUUAUAGUAUUGUGACACUUCUGCAUAAUUUCCUAACAAAGACCAGCAUUCAUAGUGCUGAGGAACAGACUUUUCCAGGCAUUUUACUGAAUAAGCUGUAAAAUGCUGCCUUUGACUUUGCUGGUGGCCUGCUUGGCAUAGCUUCUCUGGGCCUCUGCUUAACUUUCCCAGACAGCACAGCACUUUGAAACACUCUCCCCACUGAAUACAACUAACAAGUUCUUGAUAAAUCUCUACUAUCAAAACUUAUUUGGAUUCUUACCUGGCAGGGGAGAUGCCAUGAUCAUGAAGGUGGUUUUCCCAGGCUGAGGCUCAUCCAUUGCACUCCAUAGGUGUGCUUACCCCUGUGAUUUCCCCAAAUGCGGGAAACUCAACUGCAUAAUUUGUGGUAGUGAGGAACUGCAUUCGUGCUUUCCCCUGGGAAAAAAAAAAAACAAAAAAACUUAUAUGGAGUUUAAAAUAUAAUUAAUUAAAAAUCAAUCCUGUGGGAUCACAUAUCUAGGGGAGACUUUAACCCAUCACAGAUACUGGAUCUGGAUAACUUGCAAUAACCCAGUGUCUGUGAUGGGUUAGUCUCCCCUUAACUUAUCACAGAUACUGGGUUAUUGCAGGUCUGGAUUACAUAGUGCACUAACAAGAAAAAUCAGUGUGCCAUAGGUCCUUGGUGUUCCAAAAGUCAGAAUAGUUAUAAAAUCCUGACUAUGGCUUCCUCCAUUGCUUCAUCAGCUAUUCAGUUACUCACACCUAGCUAUUCACAACAAAAGAAAGAAGCAACAAAAAAAAAACCAUUAAGUUUCUUGAAGAACUUGGAAAUAAGGUUGACAAUGAACAUUAAACUAGUAAAAUCCAUAUACAAUAAAAGAGAUUAACAGAGGCCACCCUGAGGAACCAUUAACAUACUUUCUAUUAACAAACCUGAAGAAAGCACUAAGAAGAGUUAGGAAAAGAGAGUCAGAGAGCAGGAAUUUUAGUCUAGAACUAUCCAAGGAGAGAGGCACUUUGAUAGUAGUGGCAGUUCUGGUGGCACAGGUAGAGUGGAAGCAAGGAGACCAGUUGAGGUUCCUGCUAUAUGCCAGCCAAGAAUGGUGAUUUGGACUUGGAUAAAUGGUGGAAGUGGAGGUGGAGUGAAGUAGACAGAUCCAAGAUUUAUUUUGGAUGUAGGAUCCAUGGAACUUGGUAAGGUGUGAGCUUAUGGGAGUUGAGGAGAAGAUAGCAGAAAGGCUGACUCCCAGAUUUCUGGCAUGACUAACUGGAAGGAUGAAGAGACACCCAGCUGAGAUUUGGGGAGGAGCAGAUUUGGGGAAAAUAUCAAACAUGUAAUUUUGGGUAGGCCAAGUUUGAGAUGGUGUCUUUGUCUACUUUGUGUUGCUAUAAAGGAAUAUCUGAGGCUGGGUGACUUAUAAAGGAAAGGCUUAUAGGGCUCAUGGUUCUGCAGGCUGCACAAUAAGCAUGGUGGCAGCAUCUGCUCAGCUUCUGGUGAGGGGCUGCAGGUUGCCUCCACUAUUGGCAGAAAGGAAGAGGGAAGGAGAGCGAGCAUGGGCUGAGAUCACAUGGUGAGAGAGGAAGCAAGAGAGAGCAGGGAGGUGCUAGGCUCUUUUUACCAACCAGCUUUCAUGGGAACUAACAACCAGCAUAACAGAGUGAAAACUCACUCACUUUACCUGCGCCCACCAACCCACAAAGGGAGGGCAUUAAUCUAUUCAUGAGAGGUCAUCCUCCCUGACCCAAACAUUUCCCAUUAGGUCCCACUUCCAACAUUGGGAUCAAAUUUCAACAUGAGGCUUGGGGAGACAAACAUCCAAACUAUAACAUUCUGCCCCUUCCCCCUAAACUCAUGUCCUUCUCAGAUGCAAAAUACAUUCUACCCCAAUAGUGCCCAAAGUGUUAACUUGUUCCAACGUCAACUUAAAAGUCUAAAGUCCAAAGUCUCAUCUGAGACUCAGGGCAAAUUCCUUCCAGCUAUGAGCCUGUAAAAUCAAAAACAAGUUAUUUAGUUCCCAGAUGCAAUGGUUGUACAGGCAUUAGGUAAAGAUUUUCAUUCCCCAAAGGAGAAACUGGCCAAAAGAAAGGUAACAGGCCCAUGCAAGUCUGAAACCCAGUAGGGCAGACAGGCAGACAUUAAAUCUUAAAGCUCCAAAAUAAACUUUGACUCCAUGUCCUGCAUUCUGGGGACACUGGUUUGAGGGAUGGGCUCCCAGUGCCUCAGACAGCCCUACCCCUAUGGCUUUGCUGAGCGCUGCCUACAUGGCUGCUCUUAUGGUUUGGAGUGGAGUACCUGAGGCUUUCACAGACUGAGGUGCAUGCUGCUGGUGCCUCCAUAAUGCUAGGGUGGAGGGCAGCAGCCCUUCUUCCACAGCUACUAGGCACUGCCCUAGUACAGUUUCUCUGCAGUGGCUUGCCCCUGUGGCAGGCUUCUGCCUGGGCACUCAGGCUUUCCAAUACAUCCUCUGAAAUCUAGGUGGAAGCUGCCCAGCCUUUACCACUCUUACAUUCUGGGAGCCUGCAGACAACACCAUGCGGAAGCUGCAACAACUUAAGGCUUACACUCUCUGGAACAGCAGCCUGAAGUGGUACCUGGGGCUGUUUGGGCUCAGGCUAGAGCUAGAGCAAUUAGAAUGCUCCCCACAUCCUGCGGUGGCAUAGGGCAAAAGCACCCCAGGCCUGUCCCCUGAAACCAUUCUGUCCUCAUAGGCCUCUGAGCCUGUGAUGGGAGGGAUGACCUCAAAGAUUUCUGAAAUGUCUUUGAGGUCUUUUCCCCAUUGUUCUAUUAGCACCUCAUUCCCUUUUAUCCAUGGUAAUCUCUCUAGCAAGUGGUUGCUCCAUAUCGCCCUUGGAUUCCUCACCUGAAAACAUUCUUUCCUUCUCUACCACAUGACCAAGUUAUAAAUGUUCCAAAUUGUUUUGCUCUUUUUCUCUUUUAAUUAGAAAUUCCACCUUUAGAUCAUUAUUUUGCUGCUGUAUCUGAUCAUAAGCUGUUAAAAGUAGCAGGCCAGUCAUGGUGCUCACGCCUGUAAUCCCAGCACUUUGGGAGGCUGAGGCGGGCAGAUCACGAGGUCAGGAGAUCAAG